Molecule: long non-coding RNA, 383 nt
Filed under: Helianthus annuus (common sunflower)
Lineage: Eukaryota; Viridiplantae; Streptophyta; Magnoliopsida; Asterales; Asteraceae
Description: hypothetical non coding rna
Source: RNAcentral
UUAAUUCAGGUGAAAAACAUAACCCUAACUCGAAAUCAGCCUUAUUCAGCCAUAUAUUGCUAUUGUCAUAUGAAUUCAAGAACCAUAAAGCCAAAAUCAGAGUUGGUGAUUUGUGCUUAUAUAGAGAUAAAGCAUUGAAAAGGAUUUAGUCCUGAUGAAGAAACAUCAAUGGGAUUAGUUCAGCAUGAAGGUGGGCCGUGUGGUGUAUUAGUAGCUAUACAACACUGAAAAAAAAAGCAGGAGUGAGAAGAAGAGUCGAAAGACGGUGUUGCGGUGUCGAUAAUAUGAGCCGAGAACAUAAUUCAAGGAUCUCCAGAAGGAUCCUCCUCUUGCAGUGCAGGGUUAUAAGUUGUUUUGUUUGUGAGUUUAUGUUUUGUGGUUGA